GACGAACGCUGGCGGUGUGCUUAACACAUGCAAGUCGAACGGUAAGGCCCUUUCGGGGGUCCACGAGUGGCGCACGGGUGAGUAACACGUGAGUAACCUGCCCUCAUCUCUGGGAUAACAGUCGGAAACGGUUGCUAAUACUGGAUAUGAGCUUGCAAGGCAUCUUGUGGGUUGGAAAGAUUUUUUUUGGUUGGGGAUGGACUCGCGGCCUAUCAGCUUGUUGGUGAGGUAGUGGCUCACCAAGGCUUCGACGGGUAGCCGGCCUGAGAGGGCGACCGGCCACAUUGGGCCUGCGAUACGGCCCAAACUCCUACGGGAGGCAGCAGUGGGGAAUAUUGCACAAUGGACGGAAGUCUGAUGCAGCAACGCCGCGUGCGGGAUGACGGCCUUCGGGUUGUAAACCGCUUUCAAUUGUGACGAAGCUUUUUUGUGACGGUAGCAGUAGAAGAAGCACCGGCUAACUACGUG
RNAcentral lists this ribosomal RNA (468 nucleotides) under uncultured bacterium. RNAcentral describes it as "partial 16S ribosomal RNA". It matches the Rfam family "Bacterial small subunit ribosomal RNA", at positions 28 to 507 of the family's 1533-position model. The record is from RNAcentral.